GGGAGUGGGUGGGGGGCAGCCCCUAUUGGGGCUAGGAAACUCCGCCCACCGCUAGGAGGUGCGCUGGCGUAAGCCAGGGAGGCGAGAGCCUCCGGCUCCGCACAGAAACGACACAGCCUCCUUCAGAUGCCGAUGAUAUACUUUUGAGCAUGAAGGAGUAGCUGGUGAAACGUGGUGGGGCCCGCACGGUGCAAGCCAGUUUCCCACGAUGAGUUCCUAGUGAGUGGGAGGUUUGGUGCUUAGCCACAUGCCCCCAGAACAGAAGGCGGGUUACUACCCACUCCC
The sequence is an RNase P RNA, 285 nucleotides long. It matches the Rfam family "Archaeal RNase P". From Rfam's summary of the family: Ribonuclease P (RNase P) is a ubiquitous endoribonuclease, found in archaea, bacteria and eukarya as well as chloroplasts and mitochondria. Its best characterised activity is the generation of mature 5'-ends of tRNAs by cleaving the 5'-leader elements of precursor-tRNAs. Cellular RNase Ps are ribonucleoproteins.